UUUCCCCAAUUAUGUUUAACAAAUCUCCUAAAGCUUCUUCUCUCAUUUUCCUCUUUCUUAGCUAGGUCUUUGUUCAUCUGCCAUUAGAGCUCAUCUGAGCUCGAUUUCAUCUCGUUCAUCUGAGAAUUUGUCAUGGUAUUAGUGCGGAGGUUCUAAUCUCUAGCUUGAUUUCAUUUUUGGUCCACAGAAAUCAAAGUUCGACAUUGUUUAAUUUUGAGGUUUGAAGUCAGCCCAAAUUUAGGAUCGCUACAGAAAUUGGGCGAUUAAGAGUUAUCUGCGCAUACACAUCGACUAGAAUUAUGGCAAUUAAAGAAAACACAUCGAAUUCUCCUAACCCGCUACUCGAUUUAACCAACCCACUUUACAUGCAUCCAUCCGAAAAUGUAGGUUCCAUGCUUGUGCCAAUGCUUUUUGAUGGAUCGAGGUACAAGUCAUGGAGGCGAGGAGUACUUAGGGCUGUUUCUAUGAAGAACAAAGUAGGCUUCAUAAAUGGGAAGUGUGGAAAACCAGACUCAAAGGAUCCCACCUAUGAUUAAUGGGAACAAUGCGAUAAUGUAGUGACCUCGUGGAUUUUAAAUUCUCUCUCAAAGGAUCUGGCAGACAGUCUGCAAUAUGUAAACGAUGCCAAAAAGCUUUGGUAGGAGUUGGAGGACAGAUAUGAUCAAACCAAUGGGGCAAAACUAUAUCAAUUACAGAAAAAAAUCAGCAAUUUGAGUCAAGGAGCACUCGACAUUAUAGGGUACUACACUAAGAUGAAGAAGCUGCGGGAAGAACUGAACACCUUGAAUGCGCAUGCUCAAUGCAAGUUCCAGUGUACAUGUGGUGCCAAGGCAAGUAUGCAGAAAGCUGAGCAAGACAGUAGGUUAAUUCAAUAUCUAAUGGGAUUAAAUGAGGUGUACACUAUUAUGAAGGGAAGCAUCCUGAUGAUGAAUCCCUUACCUUCCUUGGCACAAGCAUUUACCAUUUUCAUCCAAGAGGAGAAGCAAAGGGAGAUGAAGCCAAGUAAUCAAUUGAUGAUUGACUCUACUGCUUUGAGUGUGAACAAGAUAGGAAAUAACAACUUCAGAACGAGUUAUGGUCAACAAGGAAAUGGACCUGGAGGGAGUUUCUACAUAAACUACAACCAGUCGAGUGGCACUGGAGUAAUAGUUUCAGGGAAAUUACUCUACAAAUAGACCUCGACCAAUUUGUGAUUACUGCAAGAGGCCAGGGCACACCAAGGAUAGGUGAUACAAGCAUCAUGGUUAUCCACAAGACCCCAAGUUCAAUAAGGGAAAGUGAGUGGCUGCCAAUGUGUUUGAAGAUUAUGGUUAUAAGGAUACUGGUAUAGGAGUUGAGGAAAAGCUACAAACUCAAGAAGAGGGGCGAGUGAUGAAGAAUCUGACCAAAGAACAAUACAACCAGCUCAUCAGCAUCCUAAAAAAUUUUCAGACUGGAAGUGCAGACGAUAAUUCUGGCAUGAAGGCAGGAGCAGUAAACUUUGCAGGACCCUUCACUGAAGAUGCCUCUGGAAAUUGGUAAGGCUACUAAUGGCCUAUACUAUCACAUUUCAGAUCUCUGCAAGACUGUUGCAGCCCUCACUCAAACUUCUACUCAAAUUCCAUCUAGUAUGUCUGAUAAGAAUAAUAUACACCUUCACUUGCAUCUUGUUCCCCCUGUUUCAUUUAGUUUACCUGUUUUAUUUCAUGCUUGUAAUAAGAGUGGUGUUGAUCCUUAUAAAUACUCCACUGUUAAUACUUCAUCCUUAAGUAGUGAAAAAAAUAUUUCUGUGUCAA
Long non-coding RNA from Nicotiana tabacum (common tobacco), 1775 nucleotides. RefSeq lists it as uncharacterized. The record is from RefSeq and is a predicted model, not a curated record. Lineage: Eukaryota; Viridiplantae; Streptophyta; Magnoliopsida; Solanales; Solanaceae.